GCGGUCUCGCAAGGGACAGCGGCGAACGGGUGCGUAACACGUGGGUAUCUGCCCUGGAGUGGGGGAUAACUCGCCGAAAGGCGAGCUAAUACCGCAUGAGCUCACGGUCUCUUCGGAGACUGAGAGAAAAGGAGCAAUCCGCUCCAGGAUGAGCCCGCGGCCCAUCAGCUAGUUGGCGGGGUAACGGCCCACCAAGGCAACGACGGGUAGCUGGUCUGAGAGGACGACCAGCCACACUGGAACUGAGACACGGUCCAGACUCCUACGGGAGGCAGCAGUGGGGAAUCUUGCGCAAUGGGCGAAAGCCUGACGCAGCGACGCCGUGUGUGCGAUGAAGGUUUUCGAAUCGUAAAGCACUGUCGCCCGGGAAAAAGAAAUGAUGGUACCGGGAGAGGAAGCACCGGCUAACUCUGUGCCAGCAGCCGCGGUAAUACAGAGGGUGCGAGCGUUGUUCGGAAUUAUUGGGCGUAAAGCGCUGGUAGGUGGCUUGUUAAGUCGCGUGUGAAAUCUCCAGG
RNAcentral lists this ribosomal RNA (515 nucleotides) under uncultured Anaeromyxobacter sp. RNAcentral describes it as "bacterial SSU rRNA". It matches the Rfam family "Bacterial small subunit ribosomal RNA", at positions 76 to 607 of the family's 1533-position model. Lineage: Bacteria; Pseudomonadati; Myxococcota; Myxococcia; Myxococcales; Anaeromyxobacteraceae. The record is from RNAcentral.